GGUGUUCUUAAAAUAGGUACAGAUCCCUUGUGUGUUUGGAGGCGAGGGUGUACUUGUGAACACAAUGAAAUCAACGGGCUGUUGCAUAGAGGGAGGAGAGAAAGAUGACAAACUAUUUCUUUCAAUGAAGAAUGGUUUCUGGGAAGAGAGCAUUCUGGAGUGGGACGGAGACAAAACACUGUAUCUGGAAUUCAUUUUCUUCAUUGAAGAUUUUCCAGAUUCAGAUCUCAGCUCCUGACAAGGGAUUCAGGGCAGAACUAAAAUAUGAUGACUGACUUGGCAGCAGG
Long non-coding RNA from Podarcis muralis (Common wall lizard), 287 nucleotides. RefSeq lists it as uncharacterized. Lineage: Eukaryota; Metazoa; Chordata; Lepidosauria; Squamata; Lacertidae. The record is from RefSeq and is a predicted model, not a curated record.